UCUAAUUCUCUUCUACUAAUAAUCAUUUUCAGAUUUAAUUUUUUUUACCUCAAGAAAAUUUUCUGUGAACAUUUCAUUCACAAGGAUUUCUACGAUGGAUAAAAGGAUUAUGGGUUAUGCACAUCAAAUUUCUCUGAAUAAUAUUCAAGGUAAAUUCAACCGACGAAGAUUAAGCAAUUCUAGCGAACCUAUCUACUCCUAAAUAUUGAAGGACGCACAGGAAAACAGAGGAAAAUUAAGCAUGACACUUACUUGAAGGGGGAAAUACGUGAACCCCGUGGACAUUAUGCAAUCGGAGAAGAAUUGAAUGUUUUUUAUUGAGAAAUGUUAAUCCAUUAGCCUUCGCACGGUAAAUGGAAAUAGGAGAGCUAGGAUGGCACAUUGCUCAUUUUGUGUUAGUAAUUUUUACAAGUACCCCUUUUAAUAAACUUAUUUUGAAUUUAAUAUAGGAAAGUGUCUUAAAGUUAUGAUUAAAAAAGUCAUACUAUGGAUACGAUUGUCUUUGUAGAUUAAAAAAAAAAAAAAAAAAAAAUUGAAUCAUGAAGGAAUUCCAGGAAACACAUUAGAAACUUUAAAAA
This is a long non-coding RNA of Lycium barbarum (goji berry), 578 nucleotides long. RefSeq lists it as uncharacterized. The record is from RefSeq and is a predicted model, not a curated record. NCBI's taxonomy places the organism in Eukaryota, Viridiplantae, Streptophyta, Magnoliopsida, Solanales, Solanaceae. The transcript is spliced from 4 exons.